AUAAUUGAAGCUGAUUUGUCUCUAGAGGACCUUGAACAGGCCGGCUCUCCGCAGGCAAGAAAGUUCAACAAAGCAAAGGGGAGAAGGGGGCGCGUGUCGUGUCCCCUGGGUCGCGGUGUGUACAGGUGAGGCGCAGAGAAGGGCAUAGCAAGGUAACUUCGCUGUUCCCUUUCCUCCCAGGUGGCGGGCGCGCUGGCUGGCCGGGGACGCGUAGAAGGGUAGCCUGGUAGACUGGGACGUCACCCUGGUUGUCAGUUGUGGGCGUGGCUUAUGCAGAUGACGGUCGCGCAGGGGCUGUCGCGUCCGCACCCGCCGCGGAAAGCGAGAUAUUUCUCACGCGGCGAGGGAGGGAGCGCGGGACCCUGGGUGUCAGCGGAGCGCCGAGACGGCGUGUGCGUCGGGGGAGACAUGUGGUGGAAUCUUUCUUUCUCUCGGAGCGCACGCAAGAGUUGUCCCCAGGUGCUCGGCGUGCACUGGAAAGGUGAAGAAGCCGAGGGCACGAGGCGGGUGCAGCGGCUCGACUCACCUACACACCGGCCUGCUGGUCCCGGGACGUUGGGGACGCUACCUGAGUGGGCAGGUCUUUCUGAAUGGAGUCGCCCUGAGACCUGGGUUUCUAGGGCGCGUGGCACUGAGGAGCAGCCGACCGAGAGCACGGACGUGGAGGGCAGGCAGUCCUUGUGGCGACCCGGUAGUGCGGAACCGGUGCGCGGAGACUUGAAUUCCUGGAAGUUGACUCUUCUACCCUGGUGCCUUUUUUGAUCUAGACCUCAGUGAUGACGGCUCCCGGUGUGAGGGACCCUUACUGGGAAAAUAGGUACUAUUUACUCUUCUUCGGCAGAAGCUUGUUUUUAAAACCAAGUUUGUGAUGUCCGAGUAACAAGGCCAUCUGGUGUAGAAUCGACAGAGACACACUCGUAGAACAUUUGCUGCAGAGACAGGCGCUCUGCUCCCGAAGUGUUUGGUUCUCCGACCGACAGUGGAGGUGCCAAGUUUCGGUAUCACCGCUCUACUUCUCUCUUGCGAUGGGGAAGGGGGCAGGAGGGAGGAGCCUCCUUUACAGACCUGGCUCUUCCCAAGAGUUUAGGAUCCUCGUAUUGGAUAAGCCGCUUGGAAUUAUUUCGGUGACUCAGUUUUACCGCAAAGGCAAAAAUCAGAAUUUUGUUAAUUAGUAAGUAAAAAGCUGCAAAGGGACGGUACUACUAAAUGCCGUGACUCGGAUUCGAACCGAGGUUGCUGCGGCCACAACGCAGAGUACUAACCACUAUACGAUCACGGCGAGCCACCGGGCAAGCAGCGGGUUGCGGGCUCAAUUUAAUGGUCUUUGAAUGAGAGUAGCCUUCCAGAGUUGCCUGAUUUAUUUAGUAUAGUCUAUAUGGCCGCAAUAUCAAAAGUCUGGCUUUGAAACCCUGGUGCUUCCGCAAUACUAACACGAGCACCAGCUCCUUGCUUCCUGGGAUUUCAUGACCUGGGAUAAGAAACCGCCGCACCAGCAGACCUAUGUUGUUUCUCUCCAAAGAAACAAGCCACGGACUCAACGGUUUUGUUACCAGAAGAGUGCAACCAGAAAAGGAGCAGAGCUGGUGAAGGAGUCCUUCUCCAGGGCCGUGUUUCCUGGUUCCACUCACAAAGCCUCCCGAACCGAAGGCGGGGCUGCCUCUAAAGUCUCAAAGAGCCAGACUCCAUUUUAGAUACUUUCCUGAACAAUCCCAAAAGGAUAAGCCUACAAGUCUGUGACGCCAUUCGCUGUACUAACAGAUAG
This 1762-nucleotide transfer RNA is filed under the name Mus spicilegus (steppe mouse). RNAcentral describes it as "lncRNA (ENSMSIG00000021421.1)". Lineage: Eukaryota; Metazoa; Chordata; Mammalia; Rodentia; Muridae. The record is from RNAcentral.